UGGGGAAUAUUGCACAAUGGACGGAAGUCUGAUGCAGCAACGCCGCGUGCGGGAUGACGGCCUUCGGGUUGUAAACCGCUUUUUCUCAUGACGAAGUUUUUUGACGGUAGUGGGGGAAGAAGCACCGGCUAACUACGUGCCAGCAGCCGCGGUGAUACGUAGGGUGCGAGCGUUGUCCGGAAUUAUUGGGCGUAAAGAGCUUGUAGGCGGUUUGUCGCGUCGAUAGUGCAAACUCAGUGCUUAACGCUGAGCCUGCUGUUGAUACGGGCAGACUAGAGGAAGGUAGGGGAGAAUGGAAUUCCCGGUGGAGCGGUGGAAUGCGCAGAUAUCGGGAGGAACACCGGUGGCGAAGGCGGUUCUCUGGGCCUUUCCUGACGCUGAGAAGCGAAAGCGCGGGGAGCGAACAGG
Molecule: ribosomal RNA, 408 nt
Filed under: Fusobacteriota bacterium
Lineage: Bacteria; Fusobacteriati; Fusobacteriota
Description: Fusobacteria bacterium partial 16S ribosomal RNA
Rfam family: Bacterial small subunit ribosomal RNA
Source: RNAcentral